GUGCUUGCUUCAGGCAGCACACAUACUAAAACUGGAAUGAUACAGAGAGGAUUAGCAUAGCCCCUCUGCAAGGAGGACACGCAAAUUCGUGAAGUGUUCCAUAUUUUU
Molecule: small nuclear RNA, 108 nt
Organism: Balaenoptera musculus (blue whale)
Lineage: Eukaryota; Metazoa; Chordata; Mammalia; Artiodactyla; Balaenopteridae
Source: Ensembl